This 77-nucleotide transfer RNA is filed under the name Paracoccus sp. (in: a-proteobacteria). RNAcentral's name for it is "Paracoccus sp. (anaerobic digester metagenome) tRNA-His". It matches the Rfam family "tRNA". Rfam says of the family: Transfer RNA (tRNA) molecules are approximately 80 nucleotides in length. Their secondary structure includes four short double-helical elements and three loops (D, anti-codon, and T loops). Further hydrogen bonds mediate the characteristic L-shaped molecular structure. tRNAs have two regions of fundamental functional importance: the anti-codon, which is responsible for specific mRNA codon recognition, and the 3' end, to which the tRNAs corresponding amino acid is attached (by aminoacyl-tRNA synthetases). tRNAs cope with the degeneracy of the genetic code in two manners: having more than one tRNA (with a specific anti-codon) for a particular amino acid; and 'wobble' base-pairing, i.e. permitting non-standard base-pairing at the 3rd anti-codon position. Lineage: Bacteria; Pseudomonadati; Pseudomonadota; Alphaproteobacteria; Rhodobacterales; Paracoccaceae. RNAcentral also lists the same sequence under 2 other names. The record is from RNAcentral.
GCCGCCUUAGCUCAGUUGGUUAGAGCGCCGGAUUGUGGAUCCGGAGGUCCCCCGUUCAAGCCGGGGAGGCGGUACCA